This 463-nucleotide ribosomal RNA is filed under the name uncultured bacterium. RNAcentral describes it as "partial 16S ribosomal RNA". It matches the Rfam family "Bacterial small subunit ribosomal RNA", at positions 28 to 507 of the family's 1533-position model. The record is from RNAcentral.
GAUGAACGCUGACAGAAUGCUUAACACAUGCAAGUCGAUGGGGAAGUGGUGCUUGCACCAUGGCAACCAUGGCGGACGGGUGAGUAACGCGUAAGGGACUUACCUGCAGGACUGGGAUAACAGGGGGAAACUCCUGACAAGACCGGAUAAUGUCAUGGAGCUGCAUGGCUUUAUGAUGAAAGGAGACGCCUGCGGAGAGCCUUGCGUCCUAUUAGCUAGUUGGUGAGGUAAUGGCUCACCAAGGCGAAGAUAGGUAGCCGGCCUGAGAGGGUGGACGGCCACAAGGGGACUGAGAUACGGCCCUUACUCCUACGGGAGGCAGCAGUGGUGAAUAUUGGACAAUGGGGGCAACCCUGAUCCAGCAAUUCUGUGUGCACGAAGAAGGUUUUCGGAUUGUAAAGUGCUUUCAGCAGGGAAGAAGUAAGUGACGGUACCUGCAGAAGAAGCGACGGCUAAAUACGUG